Molecule: unclassified non-coding RNA, 336 nt
Filed under: soil metagenome
Description: partial contains 5.8S ribosomal RNA, internal transcribed spacer 2, and large subunit ribosomal RNA
Rfam family: 5.8S ribosomal RNA (bases 1-120)
Source: RNAcentral
GAUGAAGAACGUAGCGAAAUGCGAUAAGUAAUGUGAAUUGCAGAAUUCAGUGAAUCAUCGAAUCUUUGAACGCACAUUGCGCCCGCCAGUAUUCUGGCGGUCAUGCCUGUUCGAGCGUCAUUUCAACCAUCAAGCCCCAGGCUUGUGUUGGGGACCUGCGGCUGCCGCAGGCCCUGAAAACCAGUGGCGGGCUCGCUGUCACACCGGGCGUAGUAGAUUUUAUCUCGCUCAGGGCGUGCUGCGGGUUCCGGCCGUUAAAAAGCCUUUUUUACCCAAGGUUGACCUCGGAUCAGGUAGGAAGACCCGCUGAACUUAAGCAUAUCAAUAAGCGGAGGA